CAAAGAGAAAAGUCACGGUCACAGCCAUUAAUACGGGUCCCAAUCACACAGACUAAGGAGGAGCCGAUGAGAGUUCACCGCUACCAUAGCUGGGCAGGAGAAGCCCCAAGGGGGAUUGGCGGCUCGAAAUCUAGGAAGGACAACGAUGGGAACAAAGUACAAAUCAGAGGGAUCUUUGGACUACAACUGAACACCUAGGAAUUUCAAUCAAGAAAAUACCAACAUCCUUACGGUUUGACAAGAACUGAAAAUCAUCCAUCAGUUGCGACGGUGGAGAAGUGCCGAGUCGGUUAGCCAGAUCAGUCUGUUUCUGGUCACAUUCUGGGGCAUUAGGGUAUGAAUUAUACAGGAAGAAAUAACCAAAACAUACAUAAGCACACACGUUUUUAUAUGGAUCACAGUAUUCAGACCAUGUUGUGUCCCAAGUCCCUCAGACUCAAGUCAUUUUCAUAUGCAAAAUAGAUUCAUUCCAUUAAAA
Rattus norvegicus (Norway rat) is the source of this 478-nucleotide non-coding RNA. The record is from RefSeq and is a predicted model, not a curated record. Lineage: Eukaryota; Metazoa; Chordata; Mammalia; Rodentia; Muridae.